Molecule: ribosomal RNA, 253 nt
Filed under: uncultured bacterium
Lineage: Bacteria
Description: partial 16S ribosomal RNA
Rfam family: Bacterial small subunit ribosomal RNA
Source: RNAcentral
UACGUAGGGUGCAAGCGUUGUUCGGAAUUACUGGGCGUAAAGCGCACGUAGGCGGAUUUGUAAGUCAGGGGUGAAAUCCCGAGGCUCAACCUCGGAACUGCCUUUGAUACUGCAAAUCUCGAGUCCGGAAGAGGUGAGUGGAAUUCCUAGUGUAGAGGUGAAAUUCGUAGAUAUUAGGAAGAACACCAGUGGCGAAGGCGGCUCACUGGUCCGGUACUGACGCUGAGGUGCGAAAGCGUGGGGAGCAAACAGG